This 399-nucleotide ribosomal RNA is filed under the name uncultured bacterium. Its description in RNAcentral is "partial 16S ribosomal RNA". It matches the Rfam family "Bacterial small subunit ribosomal RNA", at positions 338 to 734 of the family's 1533-position model. The record is from RNAcentral.
CCUACGGGUGGCAGCAGUGAGGAAUAUUGGUCAAUGGGCGCGAGCCUGAACCAGCCAAGUAGCGUGAGGGAUGAAGGCCCUACGGGUUGUAAACUUCUUUUAUAAGGGAAUAAAGUGAGGCACGUGUGCCGUUUUGUAUGUACCUUAUGAAUAAGGAUCGGCUAACUCCGUGCCAGCAGCCGCGGUAAUACGGAGGAUCCGAGCGUUAUCCGGAUUUAUUGGGUUUAAAGGGAGCGUAGGUGGGGUGUUAAGUCAGUUGUGAAAGUUUGUGGCUCAACCGUAAAAUUGCAUUUGAUACUGGGAGUCUUGAGUACAGUUGAGGUAGGCGGAAUUCGUGGUGUAGCGGUGAAAUGCUUAGAUAUCACGAAGAACUCCGAUUGCGAAGGCAGCUUACUAAAC